Molecule: ribosomal RNA, 256 nt
Filed under: uncultured bacterium
Lineage: Bacteria
Description: partial small subunit ribosomal RNA
Rfam family: Bacterial small subunit ribosomal RNA
Source: RNAcentral
AGGACGAACGCUGGCGGCGUGCUUAACACAUGCAAGUCGAGCGGAAAGGCCCUUCGGGGUACUCGAGCGGCGAACGGGUGAGUAACACGUGAGUAAUCUGCCCCUAGUUCGGGGAUAACCUCGGGAAACCGGGGCUAAUACCGCAUAAUAUCUUUGAAGUGGAAAUUUCGGAGAUCAAAGGAGUAAUUCGCUUGAAGAGGGGGUCGCGGCUGAUUAGCUAGUUGGCGGGGUAACGCCCACAAGGCUUAGAUCGGUA